UGGGGAAUUUUGGACAAUGGGCGAAAGCCUGAUCCAGCAAUGCCGCGUGUGUGAAGAAGGCCUUCGGGUUGUAAAGCACUUUUGUCCGGAAAGAAAUCCUUGGCUCUAAUACAGUCGGGGGAUGACGGUACCGGAAGAAUAAGCACCGGCUAACUACGUGCCAGCAGCCGCGGUAAUACGUAGGGUGCAAGCGUUAAUCGGAAUUACUGGGCGUAAAGCGUGCGCAGGCGGUUUGCUAAGACCGAUGUGAAAUCCCCGGGCUCAACCUGGGAACUGCAUUGGUGACUGGCAGGCUAGAGUAUGGCAGAGGGGGGUAGAAUUCCACGUGUAGCAGUGAAAUGCGUAGAGAUGUGGAGGAAUACCGAUGGCGAAGGCAGCCCCCUGGGCCAAUACUGACGCUCAUGCACGAAAGCGUGGGGAGCAAACAGGAUUAGAUACCCUGGUAGUCCACGCCCUAAACGAUGUCAACUAGUUGUUGGGGAUUCAUUUCCUUAGUAACGUAGCUAACGCGUGAAGUUGACCGCCUGGGGAGUACGUCGCAAGAUUAAAACUCAAGGAAUUGACGGGGUCAUAGCUGUUUCCU
Molecule: ribosomal RNA, 583 nt
Filed under: uncultured bacterium
Lineage: Bacteria
Description: partial 16S ribosomal RNA
Rfam family: Bacterial small subunit ribosomal RNA
Source: RNAcentral